Molecule: ribosomal RNA, 248 nt
Filed under: uncultured Actinomycetales bacterium
Lineage: Bacteria; Bacillati; Actinomycetota; Actinomycetes; Actinomycetales
Description: partial 16S ribosomal RNA
Rfam family: Bacterial small subunit ribosomal RNA
Source: RNAcentral
GGGUACACGAGUGGCGAACGGGUGAGUAACACGUGAGUAACCUGCCCUUGACUUCGGGAUAACUUCAGGAAACUGGGGCUAAUACCGGAUAGGAAUCCUUGCUGCAUGGUGGGGGUUGGAAAGCUUCGGCGGUUUUGGAUGGACUCGCGGCUUAUCAGCUUGUUGGUGGGGUAGUGGCUUACCAAGGCUUUGACGGGUAGCCGGCCUGAGAGGGCGACCGGCCACAUUGGGACUGAGAUACGGCCCAG